GUUAAAACUCAAAUGAAUUGACGGGGGCCCGCACAAGCGGUGGAGCAUGUGGUUUAAUUCGAUGCAACGCGAAGAACCUUACCUGGUCUUGACAUCCACAGAACUUUCCAGAGAUGGAUUGGUGCCUUCGGGAACUGUGAGACAGGUGCUGCAUGGCUGUCGUCAGCUCGUGUUGUGAAAUGUUGGGUUAAGUCCCGCAACGAGCGCAACCCUUAUCCUUUGUUGCCAGCGGUC
Molecule: ribosomal RNA, 234 nt
Filed under: Escherichia coli
Lineage: Bacteria; Pseudomonadati; Pseudomonadota; Gammaproteobacteria; Enterobacterales; Enterobacteriaceae
Also listed under: 1 other name
Description: partial 16S ribosomal RNA
Rfam family: Bacterial small subunit ribosomal RNA
Source: RNAcentral